Juglans microcarpa x Juglans regia is the source of this 362-nucleotide long non-coding RNA. RefSeq lists it as uncharacterized. NCBI's taxonomy places the organism in Eukaryota, Viridiplantae, Streptophyta, Magnoliopsida, Fagales, Juglandaceae. The transcript is spliced from 2 exons. The record is from RefSeq and is a predicted model, not a curated record.
AUGGUUGCUUAACAAGUUGAGGCAGAUCCAGUCUAGAAGUUUGGUCGUUCACUUGUGGAAUAGGCAGAGGGGAAGCUAGAGGUUGAAAAGGGAAGCAUCAUCAGUCAUAUAGUCUCUGAUUGUUGUAUCAGUUCAACCCUCUCUAGCUUGUAAUUACAGAAUAAGUAUGACAAUGGCAAAUUGUCUUCUACAAUCGUUCGUUUUAAAUCCUUGGUUGGAGCAUUGAGCCUGAAUUUUUUAGGCAGUGUGGCAAUUGGGAAAAGUAAGUUAUAAUGGUAUUUAUUCCUCCGAAGAGUAUAACUUUUCAUUUUAUGUUUUAUCAUAUUUAAUUACAUCUAAUACAUUUUAAGUGAUUUUAUAGA